Molecule: small RNA, 739 nt
Filed under: Arabidopsis thaliana (thale cress)
Lineage: Eukaryota; Viridiplantae; Streptophyta; Magnoliopsida; Brassicales; Brassicaceae
Description: ATSL155550
Source: RNAcentral
UUUAAUUAAUUAAAUUUAAUUAAAAAACGAAAUACAUUAUUAAUUUCCAAAAAUAAUAACCAAUCAAAAUCAACAUAUAAGAUUUGAUAUCUAAAUUUUAAUUAAUUUAAUUUAAUUAGAAAAACGAAAUACAUUAUUAAUUUCCAAAAAAGUAACCAAUUAAAAUCAACAAAUUAUAUUUGAUAUCUAAAUUAUCAUAUUAAUUUUUUAUUAAUUAUUAUAGUUCAUUUCUCAUCUUUAUAUGAUUCUAUUUUUGCGGAAAAAUAAUAUCAUCAUUAUAAAAAAAUAAUUAGAGUUUUUUCCCAUAUGUCAUAAUUUGAAUUUUUAAAAACAAAUAUAAACUGUUCAAUACAUAAAAAAAUAUUAUAACGGAUAAAAAAUAGAUUUAAGAAAAUUUUCUACUGAGUAACGGGUCAUAAUUUGAAAUAUUUAUAUUCAAUUUCAUACAUAUUAUAUUGAAAAUUUAUAAUCUUAUAUACUACAAUAAUUAAUAACAUAUUAGAUGUGAUUCAAUUUUUAAUACAAGUUGAAAAUCCUAGAAUUGCAUGUUUAGAUCGAUAUUAAUACAAGAUGGUAUACUACAGGUGAAACUCUUAAAUUAACAAUCAAACUACAAGUGUAUAAUCUUAAACACUAAACAAUAUAGAUAAUAUCAACAAAACAUAUACAACUCACAGUUUACUAUACAUUUAAAAUCAAAUAAAAUAAUAUCAAAUAUUUUUAAAUCAUCUUUAUAAUA